UAGGGAAUCUUCGGCAAUGGGGGCAACCCUGACCGAGCAACGCCGCGUGAGUGAAGAAGGUUUUCGGAUCGUAAAGCUCUGUUGUAAGAGAAGAACGUGUGUGAGAGUGGAAAGUUCACACAGUGACGGUAACUUACCAGAAAGGGACGGCUAACUACGUGCCAGCAGCCGCGGUAAUACGUAGGUCCCGAGCGUUGUCCGGAUUUAUUGGGCGUAAAGCGAGCGCAGGCGGUUUAAUAAGUCUGAAGUUAAAGGCAGUGGCUUAACCAUUGUUCGCUUUGGAAUCUGUUAAACUUGAGUGCAGAAGGGGAGAGUGGAAUUCCAUGUGUAGCGGUGAAAUGCGUAGAUAUAUGGAGGAACACCGGUGGCGAAAGCGGCUCUCUGGUCUGUAACUGACGCUGAGGCUCGAAAGCGUGGGGAGCAAACAGG
Molecule: ribosomal RNA, 429 nt
Filed under: bacterium
Lineage: Bacteria
Description: partial 16S ribosomal RNA
Rfam family: Bacterial small subunit ribosomal RNA
Source: RNAcentral